Molecule: ribosomal RNA, 301 nt
Filed under: uncultured bacterium
Lineage: Bacteria
Description: partial 16S ribosomal RNA
Rfam family: Bacterial small subunit ribosomal RNA
Source: RNAcentral
CAGUCGCCGCGGUAAUACGUAGGUGGCAAGCGUUGUCCGGAAUUAUUGGGCGUAAAGGGCUCGCAGGCGGUUUCUUAAGUCUGAUGUGAAAGCCCCCGGCUCAACCGGGGAGGGUCAUUGGAAACUGGGGAACUUGAGUGCAGAAGAGGAGAGUGGAAUUCCACGUGUAGCGGUGAAAUGCGUAGAGAUGUGGAGGAACACCAGUGGCGAAGGCGACUCUCUGGUCUGUAACUGACGCUGAGGAGCGAAAGCGUGGGGAGCGAACAGGAUUAGAUACCCCUGUAGUCCCUGUCUCUUAUAC